GAGGGGUCGGUGGCUGCUGGGCUGGCGGGGCGCAGGCCGCGGGACCCGAGCCCGGGGGAGCGAGAGAGCGGAGGCGCCGAGGAUCCGAUUCAUUCGCUGGGGAGACCUAUGGGCCGAAGCCGUGUAGAUGCGUUUUAAGGCGAGUGCGGAAAGUGGCCUGGGGAGCCUCGGGGAGCGGACGCCCUCCGCCCUGGUGCUGACCUGCCCCCCUGCCCCUUCUGCCUCCUGUCAGCAGGGGCCUCGGCUCCGCAACUGCCACUCCUCCUCGGGGUGUUGCACAAGUUUCGAGGUCACCGGCGACCCCCCCUAGCAGCGCUCCUGGCUCUGGCCCCCGCGAAGGAGGACGGAGUUUGGCAGAGAUGGAGUUGGUCCAGCAUAUUGGAAUCCCUGCCAGUAAGAUCAUCUGCGCCAACCCCUGUAAGCAAAUUGCACAGAUCAAAUAUGCUGCCAAGCAUGGGAUCCAGCUGCUGAGCUUUGACAAUGAGAUGGAGCUGGCAAAGGUGGUAAAGAGCCACCCCAGUGCCAAGAUGGUUCUGUGCAUUGCUACUGAUGACUCCCACUCCCUGAGCUGCCUGAGCCUAAAGUUUGGAGUGUCACUGAAAUCCUGCAGACACCUGCUUGAAAAUGCGAAGAAGAACCAUGCGGAGGUGGUGGGUGUGAGUUUUCACAUUGGCAGUGGCUGUCCUGACCCUCAGGCCUAUGCUCAGUCCAUCGCAGAUGCCCGGCUCGUGUUUGAAAUGGGCACCGAGCUGGGUCACAAGAUGCACGUUCUGGACCUUGGUGGUGGCUUCCCUGGCACAGAAGGGGCCAAAGUGAGAUUUGAAGAGAUUGCUUCCGUGAUCAACUCAGCCUUGGACCUGUACUUCCCAGAGGGCUGUGGCGUGGACAUCUUUGCUGAGCUGGGGCGCUACUACGUGACCUCGGCCUUCACUGUGGCAGUCAGCAUCAUUGCCAAGAAGGAGGUUCUGCUAGACCAGCCUGGCAGGGAGGAGGAAAAUGGUUCCACCUCCAAGACCAUCGUGUACCACCUUGAUGAGGGCGUGUAUGGGAUCUUCAACUCAGUCCUGUUUGACAACAUCUGCCCUACCCCCAUCCUGCAGAAGAAACCAUCCACGGAGCAGCCCCUGUACAGCAGCAGCCUGUGGGGCCCGGCGGUUGAUGGCUGUGAUUGCGUGGCUGAGGGCCUGUGGCUGCCGCAACUACACGUAGGGGACUGGCUGGUCUUUGACAACAUGGGCGCCUACACUGUGGGCAUGGGUUCCCCCUUUGGGGGGACCCAGGCCUGCCACAUCACCUAUGCCAUGUCCCGGGUGGCCUGGGAAGCGCUGCGAAGGCAGCUGAUGGCUGCAGAACAGGAGGAUGACGUGGAGGGUGUGUGCAAGCCUCUGUCCUGCGGCUGGGAGAUCACAGACACCCUGUGCGUGGGCCCUGUCUUCACCCCAGCGAGCAUCAUGUGAGUGGGCCUCGUUCCCCCCCGGAGAAUCCCAGCGGGGCCUCAGAGAUGCAUCUGGGAGAGGUGGGGAAGAUGGCAGGCAAGGGUACCCUUGGCCAGGACUCUGGUGCCCACCCUGCCACCCCCGCGCUCCACCUGCAGUGUUUCUGCCCUGUAAAUAGGACCAGUCUUACACUCGCUGUAGUUCAAGUAUGCAACAUAAAUCCUGUUCCUUCCAGCUGUGUCUGCCUCCUCUGCAGUGCAAGGGGCCUGGUCAGCCAGGUGUGGGGGUGUUCUUGGGGUCUCCUUUGGUCUCCUUCCCACCUUUGUAAAUAUAAUGCAAAUAAAUAAAUAUUUAGGUUUUUAAAAACUGC
Molecule: small RNA, 1806 nt
Filed under: Pan troglodytes (chimpanzee)
Lineage: Eukaryota; Metazoa; Chordata; Mammalia; Primates; Hominidae
Description: processed transcript
Source: RNAcentral